This 368-nucleotide unclassified non-coding RNA is filed under the name uncultured fungus. RNAcentral's name for it is "sequence contains ITS1". The stretch from base 1 to 104 matches the Rfam family "5.8S ribosomal RNA", at positions 50 to 154 of the family's 154-position model. Lineage: Eukaryota; Fungi. The record is from RNAcentral.
GAAAUGCGAUAGGUAAUGUGAAACGCAUCACUCGUGAAUCAUCAAAUCUUUGAACGCACAUUGCACCCUCUGGUACUCUGGAGGGUAUGCCUGUUUGAGAAUUGGAACCCCAUCGACAACCCAGUUGUUGGAAAUGAGUGUUUGUGCGUGCACAUCACUUGAAAUAGCGGCGCAACGGCACUAGCAAACACUACGCUGUUGGACACUCUCUAAUGCUCUGCCUUAUGAAGCGUCCUUUGUGUAGGUUAUGUGCCGGCUGUGACGAGCGACAUGCGUGCGUGUCGACGAGCCACGCCUAGCGUGCAAGAGAAGGCCUAGCCGACUCCAAACUCAAUCUCAAAUCAGGUAGGACUACCCGCUGAACUUAA